GGUUAAGCGACUAAGCGUACACGGUGGAUGCCCUGGCAGUCAGAGGCGAUGAAGGACGUGCUAAUCUGCGAAAAGCGUCGGUAAGGUGAUAUGAACCGUUAUAACCGGCGAUGUCCGAAUGGGGAAACCCAGUGCAAUUCGUUGCACUAUCGUUAACUGAAUACAUAGGUUAACGAGGCGAACCGGGGGAACUGAAACAUCUAAGUACCCCGAGGAAAAGAAAUCAACCGAGAUUCCCCCAGUAGCGGCGAGCGAACGGGGAGCAGCCCAGAGUCUGAAUCAGCUUGUGUGUUAGUGGAACGGUCUGGAAAGUCCGACGGUACAGGGUGAUAGUCCCGUACACCAAAAUGCACAGGCUGUGAACUCGAAGAGUAGGGCGGGACACGUGGUAUCCUGUCUGAAUAUGGGGGGACCAUCCUCCAAGGCUAAAUACUCCUGACUGACCGAUAGUGAACCAGUACCGUGAGGGAAAGGCGAAAAGAACCCCGGCGAGGGGAGUGAAAAAGAACCUGAAACCGUGUACGUACAAGCAGUGGGAGCACCUUCGGGUGUGACUGCGUACCUUUUGUAUAAUGGGUCAGCGACUUAUAUUCUGUAGCAAGGUUAACCGUAUAGGGGAGCCGCAGGGAAACCGAGUCUUAACUGGGCGUUAAGUUGCAGGGUAUAGACCCGAAACCCGGUGAUCUAGCCAUGGGCAGGUUGAAGGUUGGGUAACACUAACUGGAGGACCGAACCGACUAAUGUUGAAAAAUUAGCGGAUGACUUGUGGCUGGGGGUGAAAGGCCAAUCAAACCGGGAGAUAGCUGGUUCUCCCCGAAAGCUAUUUAGGUAGCGCCUCGUGAAUUCAUCUUCGGGGGUAGAGCACUGUUUCGGCUAGGGGGUCAUCCCGACUUACCAACCCGAUGCAAACUACGAAUACCGAAGAAUGUUAUCACGGGAGACACACGGCGGGUGCUAACGUCCGUCGUGAAGAGGGAAACAACCCAGACCGCCAGCUAAGGUCCCAAAGUCAUGGUUAAGUGGGAAACGAUGUGGGAAGGCACAGACAGCCAGGAUGUUGGCUUAGAAGCAGCCAUCAUUUAAAGAAAGCGUAAUAGCUCACUGGUCGAGUCGGCCUGCGCGGAAGAUGUAACGGGGCUAAACCAUGCACCGAAGCUGCGGCAGCGACACUAUGUGUUGUUGGGUAGGGGAGCGUUCUGUAAGCCUGCGAAGGUGUGCUGUGAGGCAUGCUGGAGGUAUCAGAAGUGCGAAUGCUGACAUAAGUAACGAUAAAGCGGGUGAAAAGCCCGCUCGCCGGAAGACCAAGGGUUCCUGUCCAACGUUAAUCGGGGCAGGGUGAGUCGACCCCUAAGGCGAGGCCGAAAGGCGUAGUCGAUGGGAAACAGGUUAAUAUUCCUGUACUUGGUGUUACUGCGAAGGGGGGACGGAGAAGGCUAUGUUAGCCGGGCGACGGUUGUCCCGGUUUAAGCAUGUAGGCUGAUUGUCCAGGCAAAUCCGGAUAAUCAAGGCUGAGGUGUGAUGACGAGGCACUACGGUGCUGAAGUAACAAAUGCCCUGCUUCCAGGAAAAGCCUCUAAGCAUCAGGUAACAUCAAAUCGUACCCCAAACCGACACAGGUGGUCAGGUAGAGAAUACCAAGGCGCUUGAGAGAACUCGGGUGAAGGAACUAGGCAAAAUGGUGCCGUAACUUCGGGAGAAGGCACGCUGGUGUGUAGGUGAAGUCCCUGCGGAUGGAGCUGAGACCAGUCGAAGAUACCAGCUGGCUGCAACUGUUUAUUAAAAACACAGCACUGUGCAAACACGAAAGUGGACGUAUACGGUGUGACGCCUGCCCGGUGCCGGAAGGUUAAUUGAUGGGGUUAUCCGUAAGGAGAAGCUCUUGAUCGAAGCCCCGGUAAACGGCGGCCGUAACUAUAACGGUCCUAAGGUAGCGAAAUUCCUUGUCGGGUAAGUUCCGACCUGCACGAAUGGCGUAAUGAUGGCCAGGCUGUCUCCACCCGAGACUCAGUGAAAUUGAACUCGCUGUGAAGAUGCAGUGUACCCGCGGCAAGACGGAAAGACCCCGUGAACCUUUACUAUAGCUUGACACUGAACAUUGAGCCUUGAUGUGUAGGAUAGGUGGGAGGCUUUGAAGCGUGGACGCCAGUCUGCGUGGAGCCAACCUUGAAAUACCACCCUUUAAUGUUUGAUGUUCUAACGUUGGCCCCUUACCGGGGUUGCGGACAGUGUCUGGUGGGUAGUUUGACUGGGGCGGUCUCCUCCCAAAGCGUAACGGAGGAGCACGAAGGUUAGCUAAUCCUGGUCGGACAUCAGGAGGUUAGUGCAAUGGCAUAAGCUAGCUUGACUGCGAGCGUGACGGCGCGAGCAGGUGCGAAAGCAGGUCAUAGUGAUCCGGUGGUUCUGAAUGGAAGGGCCAUCGCUCAACGGAUAAAAGGUACUCCGGGGAUAACAGGCUGAUACCGCCCAAGAGUUCAUAUCGACGGCGGUGUUUGGCACCUCGAUGUCGGCUCAUCACAUCCUGGGGCUGAAGUAGGUCCCAAGGGUAUGGCUGUUCGCCAUUUAAAGUGGUACGCGAGCUGGGUUUAGAACGUCGUGAGACAGUUCGGUCCCUAUCUGCCGUGGGCGCUGGAGAAUUGAGGGGGGCUGCUCCUAGUACGAGAGGACCGGAGUGGACGCAUCACUGGUGUUCGGGUUGUCAUGCCAAUGGCACUGCCCGGUAGCUAAAUGCGGAAGAGAUAAGUGCUGAAAGCAUCUAAGCACGAAACUUGCCCCGAGAUGAGUUCUCCCUGAGACUUUAAGUCUCCUGAAGGAACGUUGAAGACGACGACGUUGAUAGGCCGGGUGUGUAAGCGCAGCGAUGCGUUGAGCUAACCGGUACUAAUGAACCGUGAGGCUUAACCUU
This 2902-nucleotide ribosomal RNA is filed under the name Klebsiella pneumoniae. RNAcentral describes it as "23S ribosomal RNA". It matches the Rfam family "Bacterial large subunit ribosomal RNA". Lineage: Bacteria; Pseudomonadati; Pseudomonadota; Gammaproteobacteria; Enterobacterales; Enterobacteriaceae. The record is from RNAcentral. RNAcentral also lists the same sequence under 1 other name.